UCUCUGGCUGACAUUUGAUCAAAGUUGUCAGAUUCAUUGACCUUAUUAUGUGUUCAAUCAAUUUCUCCAGGUUGCUAUCAGAAGACCCACCUUCCUGGACACUAUAUCCUGAGCUUGCUUUGCAAUCUCGUCUAUUGAUUUCAUAGUUUGUUCUCCCUUAUACCCUCCAUGAAACCUCUCACCAGGAAUGCCUAGGUUACACGCAAUUGAAUAUGAUUCAAGCACCAAAAAGUGUUUGUGAAGGUGACUUGGGAGCUAGCAUAACUGAGAAGCUCUGCUAGUUUGAGCAUGGGUUUGACGCGGCCUUGGGCAGGGAAGGGCAAGAAGACUGUGUGGGGUGCUUGAAGUUCUAGCUGCUGUUGCUCCAUUUUCAUAGAUUUUUUGCUAUAGUUAAGCUCCUGGAUUUUGAACUUUGGAAGAAUGAACUUUAUGUAUACAUAUGCAAGAUAAUUGAAACCAAAGUACUCCA
Long non-coding RNA from Theobroma cacao (cacao), 469 nucleotides. RefSeq lists it as uncharacterized. The record is from RefSeq and is a predicted model, not a curated record. NCBI's taxonomy places the organism in Eukaryota, Viridiplantae, Streptophyta, Magnoliopsida, Malvales, Malvaceae.